RNAcentral lists this ribosomal RNA (460 nucleotides) under uncultured bacterium. RNAcentral describes it as "partial 16S ribosomal RNA". It matches the Rfam family "Bacterial small subunit ribosomal RNA", at positions 338 to 795 of the family's 1533-position model. The record is from RNAcentral.
CCUACGGGUGGCAGCAGUGAGGAAUAUUGGUCAAUGGGAGAGAUCCUGAACCAGCCAAGCCGCGUGAGUGAAGACGGCCCUCUGUGUUGUAAACCUCUUUUGUCGGGGAACAAAACCCGGGACGUGUCCCGGACUGCGUGUAUCCGAAGAAAAAGCAUCCGCUAACUCCGUGCCAGCAGCCGCGGUAAUACGGAGGAUGCGAGCGUUAUCCGGAUUUAUUGGGUUUAAAGGGUGCGUAGACGGUCCGUUAAGUCAGCAGGGAAAGGUGGGGGCUCAAACCCCGUAGAGCAUUUGAAACUGGCAGACUUGAGUUGGUGAGAAGUAAGCGGAAUGCGUGGUGUAGCGGUGAAAUGCAUAGAUAUCGCGAAGAACUCCGAUUGCGAAGGCAGCGUACCGGACUCAGACUGACGCUGAGGCUCGAAAGCGUGGGGAUCGAACAGGAUUAGAUACCCUAGUAGUC